Molecule: unclassified non-coding RNA, 343 nt
Filed under: soil metagenome
Description: partial contains 5.8S ribosomal RNA, internal transcribed spacer 2, and large subunit ribosomal RNA
Rfam family: 5.8S ribosomal RNA (bases 1-120)
Source: RNAcentral
GAUGAAGAACGUAGUGAAAUGCGAUAACUAGUGUGAAUUGCAGAAUUCCGUGAAUCAUCGAAUCUUUGAACGCACAUUGCGCCCGCUAGUAUUCUGGCGGGCAUGCCUGUCCGAGCGUCAUUUCAACCCUCAAGCCCCCGGGCUUGGUGUUGGGGAUCGGCGAGCCUCCGCGCCCGCCGUCCCCUAAAUCUAGUGGCGGUCUCGCUGUAGCUUCCUCUGCGUAGUAGCACACCUCGCACUGGGAAACAGCGCGGCCACGCCGUUAAACCCCCAACUUCUGAACGUUUGACCUCGGAUCAGGUAGGAAUACCCGCUGAACUUAAGCAUAUCAAUAAGCGGAGGA